UAAUUUACCUGGACAGGUCGACUCGCGAUCAAUAAGACGAGUGACCUAGGUUAAUGACCUCAUUUCACAUAUACGUUAUUAUUUGUGGCAGAAGGGGGAGGGGGAUGUUUGCGUUCGCGCCCG
Arabidopsis thaliana x Arabidopsis arenosa is the source of this 123-nucleotide non-coding RNA. The record is from the annotation of a GenBank genome assembly. NCBI's taxonomy places the organism in Eukaryota, Viridiplantae, Streptophyta, Magnoliopsida, Brassicales, Brassicaceae.